UAUCGUAACACCAACAGUUAAAAUGAUUUACAUUAAGCAUUAAUACUUAUGGAACAGUAUACAAAACUUAAAACAUAUAAAGUGCAUAGUUCCGUUCAUCCAAAAACCUUGCAUCUAAUCCUUAAUCCUGGGCCCUGGUCAAAGUGGCACUUGGUCAAAAAAAAAAAAAAAAGAAAAGGUUGGGAACCACUGGAUUAGAUUAAGCUGGUUAACCAGUUAAAAUUCAUGGGUAAAUUAGGAGGGUUUUUUUUUACCUGAAAAAAAUCGGGGGGGGGGGGGAGAGAUUGAACCCCUAGUCCGCCCCCUCUCCCUGGGGGCUUGAUAGAGGAGGGGGAGGAAGCGAAGAAAGAAGAGGAGGCGGCUGCAACCUUGCAACCUCCCUCCCUCCCUCCCUCCCUCCUUGGUGGCCACUUGGCAACUGGCUGCGUCUUCAGCCUCUGUUCGGAGGAAGGAGGGGAGGAGGGAGGGGAGGGGGCGGGCUGCUGUUCCUGAUUGACAGCCAGCCCCAAGCGCCUCCCCUCCGCCGCCCAAUACAGAGGCAAGGGGAAGGAGAGCCCUCCUCUUUCUCCCCCUCCUUCCCUCCCUCCUUCCCUUCCCGCUCUUCUCCCCGCGCCGCUUUGCCAGAGGAGCGCCGGCUGGGCAUGGCUGGGGUCUGCUGCUGCUGCUGCUGCGGGGCUCUGGAGCAGAGGGCGAAGGAGCAGGUUUCGCUCGUCUCUUAAACCUGCUGAGAGGCUUUGGAAUAUCUCUAAUAGAGGUAAGAUCACUCCAAUUAUUGUUAUUGUUGAGUGCUUUUCUCUAUGGAAAAUUCUUAUUUUGACAAUUCAUUUUUGUUGGAAUACAGAUCUAAAUAUCCCAAAGUUGCCAGACCCCAUCUGAUUUUGGGUAUGGUCAUGGUUUUUGAAAUGUGCUAUGAUUUGAAAAUAUGAUGCUCCUCUGCAUCCACGCUCACUAAGGGUGCACUGUAGAAUUAAUGCAUUUUGAUACCUCUUUAACUGCAAUGGCUUAAUGCUAUGGAAUCCUGGGAUUUAUAGUUUUACAAUGCCUUUAACCUUCUGUGGUAGAGUCCUAGGGCCUCAUCAAACUACAAAUCCCAGAAUUCCAUAGCAUUGAACCAUUGCAGUUAGUAAUAUGAAAUUGCAUUGAUUCAACAGGGUAGAUGCACCGUCUUUCCUACUCUGAGGUUCCUUUGGUUCUGCUAUCCCUGUCUCUGUAGUCAAUAUGGACAGCUAAAAUCAGAUUGGGGCAAUAGUCAUAUAGGAAUGUGUCCUUCCUCUUUUGGAACUAUUUGAGUUCUGAGAAGUGGGCAGUGGGUGUGGGAAGAGAGGAUUUUACAGUGAAGUCAUCCUGUGAAUAAGCAUUAGUCUGGAAUUGGGAAGUGCUCAUUAAACACUCUUGGGAACACACUGCUGUGGAAAAGACUGAUUGGUCUAAGUGACAUAAGGGACAUUGGAUCCAGAGAUAAUUAAAACACAUACCAUGUAAACAAUAAUUGUUUGCACAGUUGGAAGUCCUAUGGCUGGAUGUCUUAUAAGAAGAUCAGUCUGCAUCUCAUCUCUCAAAGUAUAAGUAGAGUCAAGAGAUUCAAAAGACAGAGCUACAUUAUUUUGAAAUAUUGGUAGGCAAACACAUCUUGUAACAGUUCAGAGAAUUUGGUAGCAUAAACCUUCGUAGAUUAAACUACGGUCCAGAAACUGCAGUUGGCAGCUAGGUUACUAACGAGCUGCUUACAGGGAGCGGUCAACCCCCUGUUCAAGCAGCUCCACUGGCUGCCGAUAAUAUUCCGGGCCCAAUUUAAGGUGCAGGUUAUUACCUAUAAAGCUCUAAACGGUUCGGGACCUGCCUAUCUCCGUGACCGCGUCGUCCCCUAUGAACCCACCCGAUUGCUGAGGUCUUCCGGGGAGGCCCUCCUCUCACUUCCGCCCUCCUCACAACUGCGUUUGGUGGGGACAAGAGAGAGGGCCUUCUCGGCCGUGGCCUCCCAACUCUGGAACUCCCUCCCCAGGGAGAUUAGGUUGGCUCCCUCUAUAUCUUCCUUCAGGAAACAACUGAAGACUUGGAUGUUUUGGCAGGCCUUCGGAGAUACAGUCAUUAAUUAAUCAGCCCCAAAGGGUUUUUAAUAAUCUAUCCUGUAUUUAUAACGGUCUUACCAUUUAUGUGUUUUAAAUGUAAUGUUUUUAUCCUGUAUUGUUGUUUUAAUUGAUAUAUUACUGUUUUAUCUUUUUUAUAUUGUGAUUUGUACUAUGUUGCUUAUAUUUUGUUCUUACGUUGUUUGGACCGUUGUCCCAUGUAAGCCGCCCUGAGUCCCCGCGGGGAGAUGGUGGCGGGGUAUAAAUAAAGUUUUUUAUUAUUAUUAUUAUUAUUAUUAUUAUUAUUAUUAUUAUUAUUAUUAGAUUAAGUACCUUCACUCCAUGCAUCUGAAAAUGCUGAAUAUUGAAGUAUUUCUACAGUUCUUUGUAGAACUAUUUUGUGGUUUAAAGCUUAUCCCAAAACAUUGUGUUGUGUAGCAGUUUUUAUGUCUUUGGAGUUUCAGUCUUGAACCGGAUAGGGGAGGAAGAAAGAGGAUCAAGGGACUUUCUUGGUUCUGGCUUACUGUACAGCUUCUUAAAAGAAAUCUGUUUGCCCUUCUUUCUCAGGUUUCAGGAGGAUAACAUUCUGCUCUACCUUUAUUUUCCAAUCCUAUUCUCACUAACUAGAAAAUAAAUUCCGUGAACCCAGUGGGGCCAGGGAUUACAUUUGAGCACGCAUUAUAGGAUUGUACUGUUAAUCUGUUUUAACUUCCUGCUGUGGCAGUGUAUUUUGAAAAUGAUCCAGGUAUUUUAUUCUCUUCUUCCCUCUUGAUCUGUCCUUUUAAUGAUAUGCACAAUCCUACUCAAACAUAACCACCGAGUACAGUCAUAUUUAUUCAGUUCAGUCUUAAUUGAAGUGUGUGUGUGUUUUAUUUUUGUAGUUUUGCAUUUUUAAGUCAUGAUUGCUUUUGUAAGUCUUUGUGUCAGGAGGGUGUCCGAAGAGUGAAAUAGAAUGUUUCUCAAAUGAAUUGAAUAAAUUACAGAAAAUCAUCUCUCCUUCUCUGCCCUUGCUGCAUGUAUACACAGUAUGUCUGGCACUGCAGCAUUUGUUGCUCCACCCUGGUUUUCUUAUGCCUUCAUCUAAAAUCUCAAGGGAAGGAUGAAUAGC
This 3174-nucleotide long non-coding RNA is filed under the name Anolis carolinensis (green anole). Its description in RNAcentral is "lncRNA (ENSACAG00000041782.1)". The record is from RNAcentral. Lineage: Eukaryota; Metazoa; Chordata; Lepidosauria; Squamata; Anolidae.